RNAcentral lists this transfer RNA (90 nucleotides) under Hypericibacter terrae. Its description in RNAcentral is "tRNA-Ser". It matches the Rfam family "tRNA". Rfam says of the family: Transfer RNA (tRNA) molecules are approximately 80 nucleotides in length. Their secondary structure includes four short double-helical elements and three loops (D, anti-codon, and T loops). Lineage: Bacteria; Pseudomonadati; Pseudomonadota; Alphaproteobacteria; Rhodospirillales; Dongiaceae. RNAcentral also lists the same sequence under 2 other names. The record is from RNAcentral.
GGAUGGGUGGCCGAGCGGUUGAAGGCACCGGUCUUGAAAACCGGCAUGGCGGCAACGCCAUCGUGGGUUCGAAUCCCACCCCAUCCGCCA